RNAcentral lists this non-coding RNA (30 nucleotides) under Rattus norvegicus (Norway rat). Lineage: Eukaryota; Metazoa; Chordata; Mammalia; Rodentia; Muridae. The record is from RNAcentral.
UGACACAUAGGGUCUCUUCCAGUUCUAAGU